RNAcentral lists this long non-coding RNA (494 nucleotides) under Salmo salar (Atlantic salmon). Its description in RNAcentral is "lncRNA (ENSSSAG00000103758.1)". The record is from RNAcentral. Lineage: Eukaryota; Metazoa; Chordata; Actinopteri; Salmoniformes; Salmonidae.
UCCUUUUUCAACUUUACUGGAUCUAUGGCAUCAAUGUUUUCCCUUCAUUUACAAUGUUUUUAUUUAACUAACGUUGACUGGCAACAAGCUAGUAAAAAAAUCCCCAGUGGUGAUCAGAGAAAGCAACAUCAACAAUAGAGGAUAUGUCAAUAGAAAGCCCCUUGGUAAUAACCAGGUCCAGAGUAUGGCUGUGGUUAUGGGUGGGCCCAGUAGAAAGCCCCUUGGUAAUAACCAGGUCCAGAGUAUGGCUGUGGUUAUGGGUGGGCCCAGGAGAAAGCCCCUUGGUAAUAACCAGGUCCAGAGUAUGGCUGUGGUUAUGGGUGGGCCCAGUAGAAAGCCCCUUGGUAAUAACCAGGUCCAGAGUAUGGCUGUGGUUAUGGGUGGGCCCAGUAGAAAGCCCCUUGGUAAUAACCAGGUCCAGAGUAUGGCUGUGGUUAUGGGUGGGUCCAGUAGAAAGCCCCUUGGUAAUAAACAGGUCUAUUUUAUGGCUGUGG